ACGUAGGGGGCAAGCGUUGUCCGGAAUUAUUGGGCGUAAAGCGCGUGCAGGCGGCGGUUUAAGUCGGAUGUUUAAGAUCGGGGCUCAACCCCGAUUCGCAUCCGAAACUGGGCCGCUUGAGUGUAGGAGAGGAAAGUGGAAUUCCACGUGUAGCGGUGAAAUGCGUAGAGAUGUGGAGGAACACCAGUGGCGAAGGCGACUUUCUGGCCUAUAACUGACGCUGAGGCGCGAAAGCGUGGGGAGCAAACAGGAUUAGAUACCCUGGUAGUCCACGCUGUAAACGAUGAGUGCUAGGUGUUCGGGGUUUCGAUACCCUGGGUGCCGAAGUUAACGCAUUAAGCACUCCGCCUGGGGAGUACGGUCGCAAGACUG
This 372-nucleotide ribosomal RNA is filed under the name uncultured bacterium. RNAcentral's name for it is "bacterial SSU rRNA". It matches the Rfam family "Bacterial small subunit ribosomal RNA", at positions 525 to 896 of the family's 1533-position model. The record is from RNAcentral.